RNAcentral lists this transfer RNA (68 nucleotides) under Cynoglossus nanhaiensis. Its description in RNAcentral is "tRNA-Phe". It matches the Rfam family "tRNA". Rfam says of the family: Transfer RNA (tRNA) molecules are approximately 80 nucleotides in length. Their secondary structure includes four short double-helical elements and three loops (D, anti-codon, and T loops). Further hydrogen bonds mediate the characteristic L-shaped molecular structure. tRNAs have two regions of fundamental functional importance: the anti-codon, which is responsible for specific mRNA codon recognition, and the 3' end, to which the tRNAs corresponding amino acid is attached (by aminoacyl-tRNA synthetases). tRNAs cope with the degeneracy of the genetic code in two manners: having more than one tRNA (with a specific anti-codon) for a particular amino acid; and 'wobble' base-pairing, i.e. permitting non-standard base-pairing at the 3rd anti-codon position. The record is from RNAcentral. Lineage: Eukaryota; Metazoa; Chordata; Actinopteri; Pleuronectiformes; Cynoglossidae.
GCCAACGUAGCUUAAACAAAGCAAAACACUGAAGACGUUUAGAUGAACCUUAAAAGGCUCCAUUGACA